GAAUUCGCCCUUAGAGUUUGAUCCUGGCUCAGGAUGAACGCUAGCGGCACGCUUCAUACAUGCAAGUCGAGGGGCAGCAUAAAGUACUUGUACUUUGAUGGCGACCGGCGAACGGGUGCGUAACGCGUAUGCAACUUACCUUUUACUAGAGAAUAGCCAAGAGAAAUUUUGAUUAAUGCUCUAUACUCUUUUUAACUCACAUGAGUUUUUAAGAAAAGCUCCGGCGGUAAAAGAUGGGCAUGCGUCCUAUUAGCUUGUAAGUGAGGUAACGGCUCACCUAAGCUCCGAUAGGUAGGGGUCCUGAGAGGGAGAUCCCCCACACUGGUACUGAGACACGGACCAGACUUCUACGGAAGGCAGCAGUAAGGAAUAUUGGACAAUGGAGGAAACUCUGAUCCAGCGAUGCCGCGUGAAGGAAGACGGCCCUAUGGGUUGUAAACUUCUUUUAUACAGGAAGAAACCUUUCCACGUGUGGAAAGCUGACGGUACUGUAAGAAUAAGGAUCGGCUAACUCCGUGCCAGCAGCCGCGGUAAUAAGGGCG
RNAcentral lists this ribosomal RNA (542 nucleotides) under uncultured bacterium. RNAcentral describes it as "bacterial SSU rRNA". It matches the Rfam family "Bacterial small subunit ribosomal RNA", at positions 1 to 531 of the family's 1533-position model. The record is from RNAcentral.